This 361-nucleotide ribosomal RNA is filed under the name uncultured Halomonas sp. Its description in RNAcentral is "bacterial SSU rRNA". It matches the Rfam family "Bacterial small subunit ribosomal RNA", at positions 1022 to 1382 of the family's 1533-position model. Lineage: Bacteria; Pseudomonadati; Pseudomonadota; Gammaproteobacteria; Oceanospirillales; Halomonadaceae. The record is from RNAcentral.
GGGAACGCAGAGACAGGUGCUGCAUGGCUGUCGUCAGCUCGUGUUGUGAAAUGUUGGGUUAAGUCCCGUAACGAGCGCAACCCUUGUCCUUAUUUGCCAGCGCGUAAUGGCGGGAACUCUAAGGAGACUGCCGGUGACAAACCGGAGGAAGGUGGGGACGACGUCAAGUCAUCAUGGCCCUUACGAGUAGGGCUACACACGUGCUACAAUGGUCGGUACAAAGGGUUGCCAACUCGCGAGAGUGAGCCAAUCCCGAAAAGCCGAUCUCAGUCCGGAUCGGAGUCUGCAACUCGACUCCGUGAAGUCGGAAUCGCUAGUAAUCGUGGAUCAGAAUGCCACGGUGAAUACGUUCCCGGGCCUU